CUUAUUCUUUCUCCAAGGGGCAUUGCUGAAAUUUCUUCAUCCCGCUCUACCAAGUGUUGUCUCUGGUGCUACUGAAGGGCCAUCAACAUCGUCUUCGUCACAUGUUUAUGAGGAGGAGCAAGUGGAAGACAACAUUGCGGCGUCCACACCACUUCCCAGCAGUGGUUCAACAGAAGCAGUGCCAUCAACUCCAUCACGACUUGAGGAGGAGCAAGUGGAAGCAUCCACACCACUUCCCAGCAGUGGUUCAACAGAAGUGCCAUCAACUCCAUCUCCACUUCAUGAGGAGGACAAAGAGGAAGAUGACAUUGACAUGGCAGAGACCACCCCACCAUCCAGAACUGGGGUACCUGUAGGUAUUGCAAGCACCACAUUAAGUGAUGACCCAGGAUGUUGGCCCAGUGUCCUAACAAGCAGUAUGCGCUGUGAAAUAGUCAAAAAAGGACCUGUGCAAAUCAUGGACAUUGAAUUCCCGCAAAACUUAGACAAUCCUCCUCGAAGAUUCACCAAGGACAGUUACAAAAGAACCAUGAAAAAUGGUGAGAAUAUACAUCGAUCGUGGCUGGUGUAUUCCAUCCACACAGAUGGAGUGUUCUGUUUCCCUUGUACUGUUUUCGGGAAGCGUGAGCGUGACAAUGCCUUAACGACCUGUGGC
Molecule: long non-coding RNA, 655 nt
Organism: Eleginops maclovinus (Patagonian blennie)
Lineage: Eukaryota; Metazoa; Chordata; Actinopteri; Perciformes; Eleginopidae
Exons: 4
Source: RefSeq, a predicted model, not a curated record